RNAcentral lists this ribosomal RNA (460 nucleotides) under uncultured bacterium. RNAcentral's name for it is "partial 16S ribosomal RNA". It matches the Rfam family "Bacterial small subunit ribosomal RNA", at positions 338 to 795 of the family's 1533-position model. The record is from RNAcentral.
CCUACGGGAGGCAGCAGUGAGGAAUAUUGGUCAAUGGGCUUACGCCUGAACCAGCCAAGUCGCGUGAGGGAAGACUGCCCUAUGGGUUGUAAACCUCUUUUGUCAGGGAGCAACGCCGGCUACGUGUAGCCGGACUGAGAGUACCUGAAGAAAAAGCAUCGGCUAACUCCGUGCCAGCAGCCGCGGUAAUACGGAGGAUGCGAGCGUUAUCCGGAUUUAUUGGGUUUAAAGGGUGCGUAGGCGGAAUGCCAAGUCAGCGGGAAAAUCGCGGGGCUCAACCUCGCUCCGCCGUUGAAACUGGCGUUCUUGAGUGGGCGGGAAGUAUGCGGAAUGCGUGGUGUAGCGGUGAAAUGCAUAGAUAUCACGCAGAACUCCGAUUGCGAAGGCAGCAUACCGGCGCCCAACUGACGCUGAAGCACGAAAGCGUGGGUAUCGAACAGGAUUAGAUACCCUUGUAGUC